This 28-nucleotide non-coding RNA is filed under the name Rattus norvegicus (Norway rat). The record is from RNAcentral. Lineage: Eukaryota; Metazoa; Chordata; Mammalia; Rodentia; Muridae.
UGUUACAGAAAAUCGGGACCGGGAACAA